RNAcentral lists this long non-coding RNA (711 nucleotides) under Arachis ipaensis. RNAcentral describes it as "long non-coding RNA (AIPA_LNC000836)". The record is from RNAcentral. Lineage: Eukaryota; Viridiplantae; Streptophyta; Magnoliopsida; Fabales; Fabaceae.
AAAUAUCAAUUAAUUAUUCUCUUUGUUGCUGAAAAUAAUCACAUUGAGUGAAGAUCACUAAUAUGGGCACAUGGAUAUUCAUAAAAACAUGAACUUUAUCGAUGAUUGAAGCCAAAAUUGGGAAUUUUUAGUAUUUUGUUAAUAAUUGUAUAAUUGGGAUCAAACAGAAUUAAAGGGGUUAUGUAAAAAAUUAGUAACUGAAAUUAAAAUGGACUUUGAAAUAAGUAGUGGCACGAAUAACUAACAAUGAUGUAAAGGAAUCUAUGCAUGGAGAUUUUGAGAUAUAGCUAAUUUUACAUUAUUGCUGGUGUGAAACAUGAUACUGCAUUUGCCCCACAAACCAAAAAGGAGAUCAGUGUAUGUGACGCUUUCUCAUGUUACUUUUAAGUUUUGUUUUCUAUCUGGUUGGAUCAUUUUCUAAUAGUGUCAUGUGUAUUCAUUAUAAUGCAUUUGCUAUUUUGUCCCUGGACGAUAGGGCUAGGUUUGUUUGGUUAGCUUGAGAGAUUAUUGAGAGGUUGGACUUGGGUUUGGGUUUGGACUUGGGCAAGGACAAGGGGCUAGAGUUAGGUUUUUUUUCAGGGACCUAAUUGUAUUUUUAUAUUUAUAGGGAUUUAAAUAUUCACAAAAUAAAAGUUAGGGAUAUAUUUGUCUUUAUAUCAAAAAAUUUAAACAUAAUUCGGUUUAGAUUGUAUAAAUCGAUCGGAUUAAUCG